UACGGGAUGGUGUAAUGGUAGCACAUGGGUUUUUGGUACCUUUAGUCGGGGUUCGAGUCCCUGUCCCGUAG
This 71-nucleotide transfer RNA is filed under the name Phycisphaerae bacterium. RNAcentral's name for it is "tRNA-Gln". It matches the Rfam family "tRNA". From Rfam's summary of the family: Transfer RNA (tRNA) molecules are approximately 80 nucleotides in length. Their secondary structure includes four short double-helical elements and three loops (D, anti-codon, and T loops). Lineage: Bacteria; Pseudomonadati; Planctomycetota; Phycisphaerae. The record is from RNAcentral.